AUUGAACGCUGGCGGCAGGCCUAACACAUGCAAGUCGAACGGUAGCACAGAGAGCUUGCUCUCGGGUGACGAGUGGCGGACGGGUGAGUAAUGUCUGGGAAACUGCCUGAUGGAGGGGGAUAACUACGGGAAACGGUAGCUAAUACCGCAUAACGUCGCAAGACCAAAGAGGGGGACCUUCGGGCCUCUUGCCAUCAGAUGUGCCCAGAUGGGAUUAGCUAGUAGGUGGGGUAACGGCGCACCUAGGCGACGAUCCCUAGCUGGUCUGAGAGGAUGACCAGCCACACUGGAACUGAGACACGGUCCAGACUCCUACGGGAGGCAGCAGUGGGGAAUAUUGCACAAUGGGCGCAAGCCUGAUGCAGCCAUGCCGCGUGUAUGAAGAAGGCCUUCGGGUUGUAAAGUACUUUCAGCGGGGAGGAAGGGAGUGAGGUUAAUAACCUUAUUCAUUGACGUUACCCGCAGAAGAAGCACCGGCUAACUCCGUGCCAGCAGCCGCAGUAA
This 504-nucleotide ribosomal RNA is filed under the name uncultured bacterium. RNAcentral describes it as "partial 16S ribosomal RNA". It matches the Rfam family "Bacterial small subunit ribosomal RNA", at positions 30 to 523 of the family's 1533-position model. The record is from RNAcentral.